Molecule: ribosomal RNA, 464 nt
Filed under: uncultured Delftia sp.
Lineage: Bacteria; Pseudomonadati; Pseudomonadota; Betaproteobacteria; Burkholderiales; Comamonadaceae
Description: bacterial SSU rRNA
Rfam family: Bacterial small subunit ribosomal RNA
Source: RNAcentral
ACGGGGCCGCACAAGCGGUGAGCAUGUGGUUAAUUCGAUGAUACGCGAAGAACCUUACCGGGGUUUGACAUGCAGGUGAUCGCCGUUGAAAGACGGUUUCCUCUUCGGAGGCACCUGCACAGGUGCUGCAUGGCUGUCGUCAGCUCGUGUCGUGAGAUGUUGGGUUAAGUCCCGCAACGAGCGCAACCCUUAUCAUUAGUUGCUACAUUUAGUUGGGCACUCUAAUGAGACUGCCGGUGACAAGCCGGAGGAAGGUGGGGAUGACGUCAAGUCCUCAUGGCCCUUAUAGGUGGGGCUACACACGUCAUACAAUGGCUGGUACAGAGGGUUGCCAACCCGCGAGGGGGAGCUAAUCCCAUAAAACCAGUCGUAGUCCGGAUCGCAGUCUGCAACUCGACUGCGUGAAGUCGGAAUCGCUAGUAAUCGCGGAUCAGAAUGUCGCGGUGAAUACGUUCCCGGGUCUU